Small nuclear RNA from Lontra canadensis (Northern American river otter), 107 nucleotides. NCBI's taxonomy places the organism in Eukaryota, Metazoa, Chordata, Mammalia, Carnivora, Mustelidae. The record is from RefSeq and is a predicted model, not a curated record.
GUGCUUGCUUCAGCAGCAUGUGUACUAAAACUAGACCAAUACAGGGAGGAUCAGCACGGCUUCUGUGUAAGGAUGACAUUCAAAUUCGUGAAGUAUUCCAUAUGUAA